UGAAAUUGAACUCGCUGUGAAGAUGCAGUGUACCCGCGGCAAGACGGAAAGACCCCGUGAACCUUUACUAUAGCUUGACACUGAACAUUGAGCCUUGAUGUGUAGGAUAGGUGGGAGGCUUUGAAGCGUGGACGCCAGUCUGCGUGGAGCCGACCUUGAAAUACCACCCUUUAAUGUUUGAUGUUCUAACGUGGAUCCGUAAUCCGGGUUGCGGACAGUGUCUGGUGGGUAGUUUGACUGGGGCGGUCUCCUCCUAAAGAGUAACGGAGGAGCACGAAGGUUGGCUAAUCCUGGUCGGACAUCAGGAGGUUAGUGCAAUGGCAUAAGCCAGCUUGACUGCGAGCGUGACGGCGCGAGCAGGUGCGAAAGCAGGUCAUAGUGAUCCGGUGGUUCUGAAUGGAAGGGCCAUCGCUCAACGGAUAAAAGGUACUCCGGGGAUAACAGGCUGAUACCGCCCAAGAGUUCAUAUCGACGGCGGUGUUUGGCACCUCGAUGUCGGCUCAUCACAUCCUGGGGCUGAAGUAGGUCCCAAGGGUAUGGCUGUUCGCCAUUUAAAGUGGUACGCGAGCUGGGUUUAGAACGUCGUGAGACAGUUCGGUCCCUAUCUGCCGUGGGCGCUGGAGAACUGAGGGGGGCUGCUCCUAGUACGAGAGGACCGGAGUGGACGCAUCACUGGUGUUCGGGUUGUCAUGCCAAUGGCACUGCCCGGUAGCUAAAUGCGGAAGAGAUAAGUGCUGAAAGCAUCUAAGCACGAAACUUGCCCCGAGAUGAGUUCUCC
This 778-nucleotide ribosomal RNA is filed under the name Salmonella enterica subsp. enterica serovar Infantis. RNAcentral describes it as "partial 23S ribosomal RNA". It matches the Rfam family "Bacterial large subunit ribosomal RNA", at positions 2037 to 2814 of the family's 2925-position model. Lineage: Bacteria; Pseudomonadati; Pseudomonadota; Gammaproteobacteria; Enterobacterales; Enterobacteriaceae. The record is from RNAcentral.